Molecule: ribosomal RNA, 347 nt
Filed under: uncultured bacterium
Lineage: Bacteria
Description: bacterial SSU rRNA
Rfam family: Bacterial small subunit ribosomal RNA
Source: RNAcentral
AGAGUUUGAUCCUGGCUCAGGACGAACGCUGGCGGCGCGCCUAACACAUGCAAGUCGAACGAAGACAUCUGAGUGCUUGCACUUGGAUGGACUGAGUGGCGGACGGGUGAGUAACGCGUGGGUAACCUGCCUUAUACAGGGGGAUAACAGUUGGAAACGACUGCUAAUACCGCAUAAGCGCACGGUAUCGCAUGAUACAGUGUGAAAAACUCCGGUGGUAUAAGAUGGACCCGCGUCUGAUUAGCUUGUUGGUGAGGUAACGGCCACAAGGCGACGAUCAGUAGCCGGCCUGAGAGGGUGAACGGCCACAUUGGGACUGAGACACGGCCCAAAUCCUACGGGAGGCA